GCAAAAUGUUAUCUUUGAGCUAUGCCAUUUGGCUUCCAGUGGACACACAAAAUGGACACACAUCAAAUGUCAACCAGGCUGAUAACAGACAGGAAGCAAUUUUGAAUCUGUCCUGGCACAGAUUUGCACUGACUCCAGCUCACAGCAGAUAAUUAAUCUAAGAGUUGGCACUGUAUGGGAAACUAAUAAAAAGAGUUCUGGUA
Molecule: long non-coding RNA, 203 nt
Filed under: Homo sapiens (human)
Lineage: Eukaryota; Metazoa; Chordata; Mammalia; Primates; Hominidae
Description: HSALNT0264396
Source: RNAcentral